Molecule: ribosomal RNA, 390 nt
Filed under: uncultured bacterium
Lineage: Bacteria
Description: bacterial SSU rRNA
Rfam family: Bacterial small subunit ribosomal RNA
Source: RNAcentral
GACGAACGCUGGCGGCGUGCUUAACACAUGCAAGUCGAGCGGUAAGGCCCUUUCGGGGGUACGACGAGCGGCGAACGGGUGAGUAACACGUGGGUGACCUGCCUUUAGCUCUGGGAUAAGCCUGGGAAACCGGGUCUAAUACCGGAUAUGACUCCGCGGCGCAUGUUGUGGGGUGGAAAGCCUUGUGCGGCUGGAGAUGGGCCCGCGGCCUAUCAGCUUGGUUGGUGGGGUGAUGGCCUACCAAGGCGACGACGGGUAGCCGGCCUGAGAGGGCGACCGGCCACACUGGGACUGAGACACGGCCCAGACUCCUACGGGAGGCAGCAGUGGGGAAUCUUGCGCAAUGGGCGAAAGCCUGACGCAGCGACGCCGCGUGAGGGAUGACGGCCU